AGUGAACGCUGGCGGUAGGCCUAACACAUGCAAGUCGAACGGCAGCACAGUAAGAGCUUGCUCUUACGGGUGGCGAGUGGCGGACGGGUGAGGAAUACAUCGGAAUCUACUUUUUCGGGGGGGAUAACGUAGGGAAACUUACGCUAAUACCGCAUACGACCUACGGGUGAAAGCAGGGGAUCGUCGGACCUUGCGCGAUUGAAUGAGCCGAUGUCGGAUUAGCUAGUUGGCGGGGUAAAGGCCCACCAAGGCGACGAUCCGUAGCUGGUCUGAGAGGAUGAUCAGCCACACUGGAACUGAGACACGGUCCAGACUCCUACGGGAGGCAGCAGUGGGGAAUAUUGGACAAUGGGCGCAAGCCUGAUCCAGCCAUACCGCGUGGGUGAAGAAGGCCUUCGGGUUGUAAAGCCCUUUUGUUGGGAAAGAAAAGCAGCAGGUUAAUACCCCGCUGUUCUGACGGUACCCAAAGAAUAAGCACCGGCUAACUUCGUG
This 492-nucleotide ribosomal RNA is filed under the name uncultured bacterium. RNAcentral's name for it is "partial 16S ribosomal RNA". It matches the Rfam family "Bacterial small subunit ribosomal RNA", at positions 29 to 507 of the family's 1533-position model. The record is from RNAcentral.